RNAcentral lists this ribosomal RNA (915 nucleotides) under uncultured bacterium. Its description in RNAcentral is "bacterial SSU rRNA". It matches the Rfam family "Bacterial small subunit ribosomal RNA", at positions 246 to 1155 of the family's 1533-position model. The record is from RNAcentral.
UUGUUGGUAAGGUAAAAGCUUACCAAGGCUUCGAUCAGUAGCUGGUCUGAGAGGACGACCAGCCACACUGGGACUGAGACACGGCCCAGACUCCUACGGGAGGCAGCAGUGGGGAAUUUUGGACAAUGGGGGCAACCCUGAUCCAGCCAUGCCGCGUGAGUGAAGAAGGCCCUCGGGUUGUAAAGCUCUUUCAGCCGGAACGAAACGGUUACGGUUAACACCCGUGACUACUGACGGUACCGGAAGAAGAAGCACCGGCUAACUACGUGCCAGCAGCCGCGGUAAUACGUAGGGUACGAGCGUUAAUCGGAAUUACUGGGCGUAAAGCGUGCGCAGGUGGUUUUGUAAGUCAGAUGUGAAAGCCCCGGGCUCAACCUGGGAACUGCGUUUGAAACUACAAGACUAGAGUGUGGCAGAGGGGGGUGGAAUUCCGCGUGUAGCAGUGAAAUGCGUAGAGAUGUGGAGGAACACCGAUGGCGAAGGCAGCCCCCUGGGUCAACACUGACGCUCAGGCACGAAAGCAUGGGGAGCAAACAGGAUUAGAUACCCUGGUAGUCCAUGCCCUAAACGAUGUCAACUAGUUGUCGGGCCUUUACGGGCUUGGUAACGUAGCUACGCGUGAAGUUGACCGCCUGGGGAGUACGAUCGCAAGAUUAAAACUCAAAUGAAUUGACGGGGACCCGCACAAGCGGUGGAUUAUGUGGAUUAAUUCGAUGCAACGCGAAAAACCUUACCUACCCUUGACAUGUAUCGAAGCCCGCAGAAAAGCGGGGGUGCCCGAAAGGGAACGAUAACACAGGUGCUGCAUGGCUGUCGUCAGCUCGUGUCGUGAGAUGUUGGGUUAAGUCCCGCAACGAGCGCAACCCUUGUCAUUAAUUGCCAUCAUUUAGUUGGGCACUUUAAUGAGACUGCCGG